GUGGGGAAUAUUGGACAAUGGGGGGAACCCCGAUCCAGCCAUGCCGCGUGUGUGAAGAAGGUCUUCGGAUUGUAAAGCACUUUAAGUUGGGAGGAAGGGCAGUAAGUUAAUACCUUGCUGUUUUGACGUUACCAACAGAAUAAGCACCGGCUAACUUCGUGCCAGCAGCCGCGGUAAUACGAAGGGUGCAAGCGUUAAUCGGAAUUACUGGGCGUAUAGCGCGCGUAGGUGGUUCAGCAAGUUGGAGGUGAAAUCCCCGGGCUCAACCUGGGAACUGCCUCCAAAACUACGGAGCUAGAGUACGGUAGAGGGUAGUGGAAUUUCCUGUGUAGCGGUGAAAUGCGUAGCUAUAGGAAGGAACACCAGGGGCGAAGGCGACUACCUGGACUGAUACUGACACUGAGGUGCGAAAGCGUGGGGAGCAAACAGGAUUAGAUACCCGUGUAGUCC
RNAcentral lists this ribosomal RNA (450 nucleotides) under uncultured bacterium. RNAcentral describes it as "partial 16S ribosomal RNA". It matches the Rfam family "Bacterial small subunit ribosomal RNA", at positions 354 to 796 of the family's 1533-position model. The record is from RNAcentral.